AUUAGCUCUUCACCCUCAGAGAUGGCCUUCGUAGUUGUACACCAAAGCUGACCCCCUAUUAAGAAGAAAAAAGAAAAAGAUAAAAUUGACAUAGGAUGCUUGAGUCUGUUGUAAACUAGAUUGAUGUCCAUAGCACCUUCUCAUGUUUUUCACACUGGUUUCUACUGGAGUGGAGUGUUUGAUCAAGGCAACAGCUGUGUUCCUCUUGCUUCCUGUGUGGAAAAUUGUACUCCUUGCAUUAAAUGAACGAUUUAGUGACCAGAAGUAGGAGGAGACUAAGAAUCAAGUACAGUAUAAACAUAAUUUGUAGAGAUUUUUGUCAAUUGUUUGCUUUCUGGGGCUUGCCUGAAUCAGUAACCUUACCAGUAGAUUGAGACAGUACCUAAAAACCAGCAUAGUAGAGACCCAACUGCUGAAAUUUAUUUCAUAUGAGCAUUUGGAGUUAUUCUUUCUAUAUUUUAUGAAAGUAAAAAGUUAUUUAUCUCUCUCCUUCUUUUCCCCCCAUGAAAUACUUCCAUCCUAUCAAUACCAAUGCCCAAACUACAGAACAAGUAAACAAAAACUCCUAAAAUCUAGAAAAUUAAAAUGAAAUUCAGGUAGUUGUACUCUGCUAUGUCUGCUACCAUUUUCUGGCUGAAUAAUCUUUACUUAUAUAAUAUUCCGUAUAAUGUAGCUUCUUCAUCUCCAUUUACCCUGAUUGAACUUCCUGAAAUGAAGAUAUGCCAAAAAUCCUUUUCAAAAAGGCUCAUUUAAAUAAAGAUUUGUUUAGAUGAAAAGAAAUGUCUCUUCAAACACUGAGAUAUACUCUGGCACUGCAUGUCAACGAUCACAUGUUGUGCAUUAAAAAGAAAAAUUAACUAUGCAAGUACAUCUAAUGUAUUGGAAUGUGAUAGCGAAUGCUCGUUUAUUUAACAUGUUUAGACAGGCAAAGCACUUAUAUUUUGUUAUCUACACUCUCAGGCCUAGAUAUGUAUCCUAUACAGUUAUGCCUGAAAUAAUGCAGCAUACUUGAUAUGUUAUAAAGCUCUUUUUUUUUUCAUUGUGUAUAGAUUGGAAGGCUGUGUAUUGCACUCAUUAAGCAGCCAAAACUUGUACCCACUUUGAUAAGUCAUAUUGCUCUGUUUAUCUUUCAACAUAACUGUCUUUUCAACUGCACUUCAUUUUUUCCACCCUUAGAGCUCAUGGUUUUUAAACAACUUGUGGUAAAAAUCUGGUGGAAAAGAUAACAACAGUAUAUGAUAUGGCAGAGUUGCACAGAAGAAUCAGAACAUUGUUUUAGAGAAACGUUGGGCAAUUAAUUAAGCCAGCUGAUUAAGUUUUAAAGGAGGAAGAUGGAACUUGGAGAAGACAUACAGGCUGAAGAAAAAAAAAUAUUUUGGAAGUGAUCAGCACAUUCUAAUUGACCAUGGAUGCUCUCUGCAUUCAUGUGGUAACCCAGGGAGAGUAUGGAGUGAAAAGAGGAUCACCAAAGAAACUUGGGGUAUCUCAACAUUUAGGAAGUGUGCAGAGAAGAUGAGAUCAUUAAAAUGUACCAAGAGGUUAUAUUUAAAUGUUAGAGGGAAAUCAAAAGAAUGGCACCACAAAAAUCAAGGGUUGGACUUCUUUAUAAUUGUUUGGCUGAGUUUUUAGAUGGUGAACUUAGAACGUACAACUUGAGGGAGUCAUUUAUAGGAAGUGAUAACCCAAAUAUUGUAACGUAACUUCAAUUACUGAUGCUAAUAAAAUUUUCAGAGUGUGAUCACUCUUGGCGGAUGUUUGGGCAAUGGAACCAGGCUGCCUGGGUGCAAGUCACUUAUUAUGUGACUUAGAACUUGUCACCUAAGCAUUCUACCUAUCAGUUUCCUCAUUCCUGAAAAUGCAGAAGAUGAUAGUGCUGAACUCAUGAUGUUAUUAUGAGGAUUAAAUGAGCUAAUAUAUGUGAAAGCUUAAGAACAGCACCUGACAUAUAAUCAUAUAAUAAAUAACAUAUAAUAAAUGUUUAUAUAAUUGUUAGCCAUUAUCGUUUUGGUUUCAUCCACUUGGGGCUGUUAUUAGUCUCAUUUCUCAUUUCUUACUGCCCUGCUAAAUCCAAGAGGAAAGAAAUCUCACCAGAAAGAAAAGGCACACCUAUGAAUUCAAUGAACAAAUCUGUCUACACUUCACUGGAGGCAGAUAACUCAUUUUAGAAAAGAAGAAUAAGGUUGCAUUUGUUUAUGGAUCACCAACUAUUGUGGACCAGUUAAAAACAGACAUAGUUUCUAGCAAUCUAUGUGGAUCUGAAGGGGCAGGAGAGCCAGUUUCCUAUUUUAAUGCUUCAGAGCUUAGAUAAAUAUGGCCCGCUUUAAUUUACAAUUGAGUGGAGGGUAGUAGUAUUUAUGUAAAUUAAGAAGCUAUCCAAGCACAUGAAAAUGCUAAGUCAUGUUGAUAUUUAGCUAUGUUGGUAUCUUGUACCCUUUGACCUUAUGUUUAAUAGAAACAAACCACAGGAUAUUACAUUUGGCUUUAAAAUGAGGGCAUCAUUAUAAAAAAAAGUGUUGUUAAGGAUGUAGAGAAACUGGAACCCUUGUGCACUGCUGGAGGGUAUGUAAAAUUGUACAAAAUGAUGAGUUAUCCAAAAAUUAAGACUAGAAUUACCUAUGAUUUUAGCAAUUCUACUUUUGGAUAUAUAUUCAAAAGAAAGGAAAGCAGAAUCUCAAAGAGAUAUUUGAACAGCCAGGCUCAUAGUGGCAUGGUUCACAAUAGCUAAAACAUGGAAACAACCCAUGGAAGUAUCCAUUGAUAGAGGAAUGGAUAAGAAACAUGUGAUCUACACAUACAACUGAAUAUUAUUCCGCCUUGAAAAGAAACUCUGACAUAUGCUACAACAUGGAUGAAGCUUGAGGACAUUGUACUGAGUGAAAUGAGUGUCACAAAAAGACAAACAGUGUAUGAUUCCACUUACAUGAAGUACUUAAGGUAUCCCAAAUCAUACAGACAGAAAGUAGAAUGGUGGUUGCCAGGGGCUGGGAUACGGGGAUGAGGAUUUAGGUUUAGCAUAAAUAGAAUUUCAGUUUGGCAAGAUAAAGAGCUCUAGAGAUGGAUGGUGGUAAUAGUUGCACAACAAUGUGAAUGCCACUGAACUAUACACUUGAGAAUGGUUAAGAUACUACAUCUUAUGUGUAUUUUAUCAGAAUUUUAAAAAUUGAGAAAAAAUGAGGUUACAUUUUUUUUUUCACUACAAAACAUCCUCUGUGAACCUAGAACAUUGGCAUGAAAUUUUUAGCCAUAACUAAGAAUAAGAAUAUAACUUUUAUAAAGUGGCUUCAUAUGAGAUGAUUUUAGGAAAACCAAAAAAAAAAAAAAAAAAAAAAAACCAUAAAGAAACACAAGGGAUAAGAUCUUCCUUCUCGACUUUCCUAGCAAAGCUACUUAACAAACCCCAUUUGAAAUUCAAGUACCUAGUGAAAUGAAGUUGCUGCUAAGAAGGAGUUCACUUUAUUUGGCCAUAUUAAGUCUUUUCAUUUGAAUGAACUCGGGAGACCUGUGUAGAUCUGAACAUUUUUGAACAAUUUAGUUCCUGGUUACUUGAUUGAUCUGAGUUUCUGCCUGUGUUUCCAGUGCCAGUGGAGUGUUCCUGUUGACUCUCUAUAGAGGUGAAAUUUAAGGAAUCUAAACAUGUUUUCUGUGGCUUUCAUAAGAAGCAGUAUGCUUAAUAUGCCCCAAAUUUAAACGAAGUGCAUUUUCAAUACACUAAUCCAUAUUAAUGGUAUAUUAAUAUGAAAACAAAUGGAAUUCUGUAAAAGUAUUGGGUGGACAUAUGGCAAUGUAAAUAUAUGCUCCAUAUGGUUGGGUUCUGCAUCCUUGGAUUCAAUCAAACUCAGAUAUAAAUAUUACCCAAAAUUACAAUAAUGAAGAAUAAUACAAGUAAAAAACCCAUAAAGUUUUAUAUCAGGUACUUGAGCAUCCUCAGAUUUUGGUGUUUGAGGAAGAUCUUGAAACCAAUCCACAAUGGAUACUGAGGGACAACUAUAUGCUUCAUUGAUAAAACUGUUACUACUUUGUUUACACUGCCAUUCAAGGGUAAAUGUUCUUAUUUUAAGGAAUUACACACUAAUAGUGAAGAACAGGUGGCACCUGAAAUCACAGAAAAUUUAUUUGUCCUCAAUGCAAAGAUGAACUAUGAAGAGCACUUUAUUGGUGAGUAAGAAAGUUUAGUUUAGUUUAGUCCUGACUUCGUUAUUACUGUGUGAGCUUGGAAAAUCACAUUACCCACAUCACUUCAAAUGACAGCCUUAGACUAAAUAUUUAUCAUCAUCCAGUUGUGAGCAUCUUUUUAUGCUUCCAUCAUCAUGUGCUAAUAAUAGUAAUAAUCACACAUUUAUUAAGUGGUUACCAUGUGCUACACACCUGCACUGUGCUAAAAGCUUUGCAUGAAUUAUCUUAUUGAUUUCCCCCAAGAAAGCAGUGAGGUGGCUUUUAUUGAUUCUCAUUUUACUGUGGGAUCAUGAUGCUGGAAGUGUAAGUUGUUCAAAGUCACACAGCUAGAGGGGAACUGGAGGAGGAGAAGGAAAUAUGGGAGAUGGCAUUUGAAUAAGGCAGAUUUUAUGUGAAAAACUAGGUGUCCCAAGCCAUGGCGCCAUCUGGUGUUCACUCUGUAACACUCCUACUUUCAUUACUAAGUUUGAAUAAUUGGCACAAUUAUCUCUCUGAAGGAAGAAUACGGUGGUUCAAUUUAUGAAGCAGCAUUAGGCAGGUUACAUAGUUAGUUAUUAGAUAGAGUUUUUAAAUGCAUAGCUACAAUAUGGAGAAUAAAAUUUAUGUGUGAUGUGGAAGUGACUCCAAGUUAUUUUAUUAUUUUAUUUUAAGAUAGGGUCUCACUCUGUCACCCAGGCUGGAGUGCAGUGGCAGUCACCGCUCAGCUCACUGCAACCUCUGUCUCCCAGCUCAGGAGAUCCCCA
This 4916-nucleotide long non-coding RNA is filed under the name Homo sapiens (human). RNAcentral describes it as "HSALNT0349002". The record is from RNAcentral. Lineage: Eukaryota; Metazoa; Chordata; Mammalia; Primates; Hominidae.